CAGUAGCCGCGGUAAUACGAGGGGGGCAAGCGUUGUUCGGAAUUAUUGGGCGUAAAGGGCGCGUAGGCGGUUUGGCAAGUUUGGUGUGAAAUCUUCGGGCUCAACUCGAAGUCUGCACCGAAAACUGCCGGGCUUGAGUAUGGGAGAGGUGAGUGGAAUUUCCGGUGUAGCGGUGAAAUGCGUAGAUAUCGGAAGGAACACCUGUGGCGAAAGCGGCUCACUGGACCAUUACUGACGCUGAGGCGCGAAAGCUAGGGGAGCAAACAGGAUUAGAUACCCGCGUAGUCCCUGUCUCUUAUAU
RNAcentral lists this ribosomal RNA (301 nucleotides) under uncultured bacterium. RNAcentral's name for it is "partial 16S ribosomal RNA". It matches the Rfam family "Bacterial small subunit ribosomal RNA", at positions 509 to 809 of the family's 1533-position model. The record is from RNAcentral.